AUUCAGUUGGUAGAGUACAAAGCUCUUAACCUUGUGGACAUGGGUUCAAUCCCCAU
Molecule: transfer RNA, 56 nt
Filed under: Triticum aestivum (bread wheat)
Lineage: Eukaryota; Viridiplantae; Streptophyta; Magnoliopsida; Poales; Poaceae
Also listed under: 1 other name
Rfam family: tRNA
About the family: Transfer RNA (tRNA) molecules are approximately 80 nucleotides in length.
Source: Rfam by way of RNAcentral